RNAcentral lists this ribosomal RNA (216 nucleotides) under Glomeromycotina sp. RNAcentral's name for it is "partial small subunit ribosomal RNA". The stretch from base 40 to 216 matches the Rfam family "Eukaryotic small subunit ribosomal RNA", at positions 686 to 864 of the family's 1831-position model. The record is from RNAcentral. Lineage: Eukaryota; Fungi; Glomeromycota.
GGGUCAGUAGGUUGGUCGUGCCACCGGUACGUACUGGUCUCACUGAUUCCUCCUUCCUGAAGAGCCGUAAUGCUAUUAAUUUGGUGUUGCGGGGAAACAGGACUGUUACUUUGAAAAAAUUAGAGUGUUUAAAGCAAGCUAACGCUUGAGUACAUUAGCAUGGAAUAAUGAAAUAGGACGAUCGAUCCUAUUUUGUUGGUUUCUAGGAUUGACGUA